AGGAUAGAUGAAACUUGUCGUGUGAUACGAUCUAGUCGGUGAGAUAUAUAGUAAGGUCAGCGUACAUGCUCAGGACCAGAGUUACAGCACGUUGUGAGCUCCCGCACUUUUUGGCCUGGUAAAAGACCUUCCCAAAGAAAAGAAAAAAGUCUUUAUAGGAUUGAGAUGUAGCUCGGGCCUAUAAUAGCUUAAAGUAUGUAUCUUCCUUGCCACUCUCCUACAUAGCAGAGUACAGACUACAGUAUACAGUGGACAAGAAACCCAUCUUCACUUAGCAUUCCAUGCUAACUAACCUGAUUGCCAUUGCAAAUAAUCAACUCGUGAAUAUUUUUCCGAAAAUUUUCCAGAACCAUACUUCAAUAGUCUUCACUUAGCAUUCCAUGCUAACUAACCUGCAGCAGAAAAAGAAAAAGAAAAAGAAAAAACAGAUUUAGGACGACUUGAAUUGACCAAAUGAAGAAGGGUGACAGGGAGGAAAAAUAUGCAGAUACAACAGCCUUGGUGGAGAACAGGAGAGGCAUGGCCGGUGGACAUGGUAUUUCCGGAGGAAGAAGGGGGAAAGGUAUAAAGGGACGGGACGUACUCAUAUCAUAGGAGUGCAAAAUUGUAUCGCACCUCGACCAUCCGCCGGCACCGUUCCCUCGAGUGCCAUUAAUUGCUAUACGAAACAUACAGACGUCUGCUUGCUUGACUCCUCUUUUGAAAAACGACGGAUGAACUUCCCUGCAUCAGUCGGUGAGACCUUCUUCACAUCGAUUGGCAAGGCCCCAUGUC
Molecule: long non-coding RNA, 774 nt
Filed under: Triticum aestivum (bread wheat)
Lineage: Eukaryota; Viridiplantae; Streptophyta; Magnoliopsida; Poales; Poaceae
Description: long non-coding RNA (TAES_LNC012228)
Source: RNAcentral